RNAcentral lists this ribosomal RNA (486 nucleotides) under uncultured Lachnospiraceae bacterium. Its description in RNAcentral is "partial 16S ribosomal RNA". Lineage: Bacteria; Bacillati; Bacillota; Clostridia; Lachnospirales; Lachnospiraceae. The record is from RNAcentral.
CACGUAGUUAGCCGGGGCUUCUUAGUCAGGUACCGUCAUUUUCUUUCCUGCUGAUAGAGCUUUACAUACCGAAAUACUUCUUCACUCACGCGGCGUCGCUGCAUCAGGGUUUCCCCCAUUGUGCAAUAUUCCCCACUGCUGCCUCCCGUAGGAGUUUGGGCCGUGUCUCAGCCCCAAUGUGGCCGUUCACCCUCUCAGGCCGGCUACUGAUCGUCGCCUUGGUGGGCCUCUACCCCACAACAAGCUAAUCAGACGCGGGUCCAUCGUAUACCACCGGAGUUUUCACACCAGACCAUGCGAUCCUGUGCGCUUAUGCGGUUUUAGCACCUAUUUCUAAGUGUUAUCCCCCUGUAUACGGCAGGUUACCCACGCGUUACUCACCCGUCCGCCACUAACAGAUAAAUCAUUAGGUUUCAUUACCUGUCCGUUCGACUUGCAUGUGUUAAGCACGCCGCCAGCGUUCAUCCUGAGCCAGGAUCAAACUCU